This 86-nucleotide small nuclear RNA is filed under the name Podarcis muralis (Common wall lizard). RNAcentral's name for it is "U4 spliceosomal RNA (ENSPMRG00000006976.1)". The stretch from base 1 to 69 matches the Rfam family "U4 spliceosomal RNA". Rfam says of the family: U4 small nuclear RNA (U4 snRNA) is a component of the major U2-dependent spliceosome. The structure of U4 snRNA from yeast and human has been reported. Lineage: Eukaryota; Metazoa; Chordata; Lepidosauria; Squamata; Lacertidae. The record is from RNAcentral.
AGCUUUGCGCAGUGGCAGUAUCGUAGUCAAUGAGGUUAAUCCGAGGCGCGGUUAUUGCUAAUUGAAUUCCCCCCCCCCCAAUUAUU